UCGACAUCAUCUAGCAGUGUGUCACCAUCUACAACAUCGACAUCGUCAAGCAGUUUGUCACCAUCUACAACAUCGGCAUCAUCUAGUAGUGUGACACCAUCUACAACAUCGACACCGUCAACUGGCAGCUCUAAUACAGAAGUGACUGUUUAUAUUGGAUUAAAACUCAAUGGCUUGGUGUACGAAGAAAACAUGAAGAACGAAAGUUACUGCAGGGAGAAAUUAAGUGGGGUAA
Molecule: long non-coding RNA, 235 nt
Organism: Nematostella vectensis (starlet sea anemone)
Lineage: Eukaryota; Metazoa; Cnidaria; Anthozoa; Actiniaria; Edwardsiidae
Exons: 2
Source: RefSeq, a predicted model, not a curated record